RNAcentral lists this ribosomal RNA (405 nucleotides) under uncultured bacterium. RNAcentral describes it as "partial 16S ribosomal RNA". It matches the Rfam family "Bacterial small subunit ribosomal RNA", at positions 360 to 773 of the family's 1533-position model. The record is from RNAcentral.
AAUAUUUCACAAUGGGCGCAAGCCUGAUGCAGCGACGCCGCGUGAGGGAUGACGGCCUNCGGGUUNUNAACCUCUUUCAGUAGGGNAGAAGCACUUCGGGGUGACGGUACCUGCAGAAGAAGCGCCGGCUAACUACGUGCCAGCAGCCGCGGUAAUACGUAGGGCCGAAGCGUGGUCCGGAAUAAUUGGCCGAAAAGGGACAGUAGGCGGUUUGUCGCGUCUGCUGUGAAAGCGCGAGGCUAAACCUUGCGCCUGCGGUGGGUACGGGCAGACUAGAGUACGGUAGGGGAGACUGGAAUUCCUGGUGUAGCGGUGGAAUGCGCAGAUAUCAGGAGGAACACCGGUGGCGAAGGCGGGUCUCUGGGCCGUUACUGACGCUGAGGCGCGAAAGCAUGGGGAGCGAAC